GGGACGGGGCCGCCCCGCGAGGGACGGCGCCGCCCCGGGGCUCGUGAUAUCUUAUCUCGCCGCCCCGUCGCGAGGCGGACGGAGGGAUGGAUGAGGUUACCUGGAAAAAAUCGGGGCGAUCUAGGCGGGCGAACCUCGCCAACGAACGAUCGGACAUGGGAUAACGGAAGAGGGCGUCGGCUCGACUUCGUCGGUUCCUCGGGCCGAGGCACGUACGGUGAAUAGGGACGGUCGGGGCCGCCCGUACCGGGUCGUGAGAGGUGAAAUUCUAGGAUCGACCCGAGACGAACUGCCGCGAAAGCAUUCGGCAAGGACGCUUUCAUUAAUCAAGAACGAAAGUCGGGGGAUCGAAGACGAUCAGAUACCGUCGUAGUCCCGACCGUAAACGAUGCCGACCGAGGGCCCCGGAGGAGUUACGUACGACCCUCCGGGCCCUCCCGCGAGAAAUCAGGAGUA
This 456-nucleotide ribosomal RNA is filed under the name uncultured eukaryote. RNAcentral describes it as "bacterial SSU rRNA". It matches the Rfam family "Eukaryotic small subunit ribosomal RNA", at positions 729 to 1105 of the family's 1831-position model. The record is from RNAcentral.